Molecule: long non-coding RNA, 848 nt
Organism: Cydia splendana
Lineage: Eukaryota; Metazoa; Arthropoda; Insecta; Lepidoptera; Tortricidae
Exons: 2
Source: RefSeq, a predicted model, not a curated record
CAGCCCUCACCAUUCUUAAAUUUUGCCUUUUUGUUCCAAAGUUAAUGUAUGUGCUUCGCUGCAGUCCUUUCUGGAAACAUCAAAAUUUGCUCCUACCUAUAGACAUCAUGGUCCAGACUACCUUAGAGCGUAUUCUCAAUUUAAAGCUAUCCGAUCAAUCGUGGUUACAAGCAUCGCUACCUGUUCGAUACGGCGGGCUGGGGUUGCGCAGAAUUUCUAGCGUAUCACUGCCGGCAUUUCUAUCGUCUGUCCACAGCUCUGCUGAUCUUGUAGGAAAAAUCCUAAGGGUUUUACCCACAAACUAUGAGGUCACAGGCUUGGACGAUGCUAGAAAUGCCUGGCUGUCUGCCUGCCCGGGACAAGACCCUCCAUAUAAUCUAAAAUCACAGAGGAGCUGGGAUGACGCCUUAUCGAAAUUAACUUAUACCACAUGUUUAGAUAACAGCGAAGGAGCUGAACGCGCCCGUUUGAUCGCAGUUGGGUGUAGGGAGGCUGGCCACUGGCUCAACGCAUAUCCCUCGCCCAAUACUGGCACUCAUUUAGAUGGAAACACCCUCCGUGUGGCAGUUGGGCUGCGCCUGGGGGUUCCAAUCUGUGCACCGCAUAAAUGCCACUGUGGGAGUGAUGUGGACCAGCUGGGGCGUCAUGGUCUGUCUUGCCAGCGAAGCGCGGGGCGAUUGUCACGUCACGCCGCGCUCAAUGACAUUAUCCGUCGGUCUCUUGUCACCGUCAACGUGCCAGCGAUACUCGAGCCGACCGGUAUGGCCCGGGACGAUGGCAAGAGACCGGAUGGUAUUGUGGGACGCGACCUGUGUGGACACACUGGCACCGUCUCACCUUCACGGUAC